UAUCUCUGUAGAGUCUGCAUAUCAAUAAGCGGAGGAAAAGAAACUAACCUAGGAUUCCCUCAGUAACGGCGAGUGAAGCGGGAAGAGCUCAAAUUUGAAAUCUUCAAGGUUCUACCUUGACGAAUUGUAGUUUAAAGAAGUGUUUUCUGUUGGAGUUUUGGUAAAAGUUCUUUGGAAUAGGACAUCAUAGAGGGUGAGAAUCCCGUAUUUGACCAUUAUUUCCAGCUUUGUGAUACACUUUCAAAGAGUCGGAUUGUUUGGGAAUGCAGUCCAAAAUGGGUGGUAAAUUUCAUCUAAAGCUAAAUAUUGGCGAGAGACCGAUAGCGAACAAGUACCGUGAGGGAAAGAUGAAAAGAACUUUGAAAAGAGAGUUAAACAGUACGUGAAAUUGUCAAAAGGGAAGCGUUUGACACCAGUGUUGUUUUCUCGAAAAUCAAUUAAAAAAGGCAGGAUUUUGUGUUGUAUUGACUUUAUCAGCUUUCUGCACUCUUUUCUUGUCUUUUUUUAAUGCACUUUUCGUUUAACAAGUCAACAUCAAUUUCUUUUGUUGUAAAAGGAGUCAUUGGAAGGUGGCUUUCCUUUCGGAUGAAAGUGUUUAUAGCCUUUGACUUCUGCAAUCGGAGAGAUUGAGGUCUGCAGCGUAGAUCCUUCGGGGUUAGAUACAUUUGUGCUAAGUUAUAGCCUUUCAUAGACAACUUGUUGACUAUGAUCAGUCAUGUAGCUUACUCGCUUAUGCUAUUUUACCUACGCUUAGGAUGUUGAUAGUCACAGCGUGUAC
RNAcentral lists this ribosomal RNA (778 nucleotides) under uncultured Neocallimastigales. Its description in RNAcentral is "partial large subunit ribosomal RNA". It matches the Rfam family "Eukaryotic large subunit ribosomal RNA", at positions 24 to 629 of the family's 3401-position model. The record is from RNAcentral. Lineage: Eukaryota; Fungi; Neocallimastigomycota; Neocallimastigomycetes; Neocallimastigales.